UGGCUCUGGGUUUAAGGUUUAGAUAAGUCUGUAUUUUGUGGAUUGGACAACACAAGUCACACAAUCAACCUUUUACCAUAUUUGGUUCUCACGAUUUUAUUUGUUUCAGUCAUGAACAUGCCAUGGUUUCAUGAGAGCUUAGAGAAUAGGCCUUUACUAUCAUUCUCCUUGAAGCAACUUCUACUUCACCCUCACAUAAGUGAUUCAUAUACGUUUAAUCCUAC
This 224-nucleotide long non-coding RNA is filed under the name Capsicum annuum. RNAcentral describes it as "long non-coding RNA (CANN_LNC020724)". The record is from RNAcentral. Lineage: Eukaryota; Viridiplantae; Streptophyta; Magnoliopsida; Solanales; Solanaceae.